Molecule: ribosomal RNA, 433 nt
Filed under: uncultured bacterium
Lineage: Bacteria
Description: partial 16S ribosomal RNA
Rfam family: Bacterial small subunit ribosomal RNA
Source: RNAcentral
AACGAACGCUGGCGGCAUGCCUAACACAUGCCAGUCGAACGAGACCUUCGGGUCUAGUGGCGCACGGGUGCGUAACGCGUGGGAACCUGCCCUUAGGUUCGGAAUAACUCCCCGAAAGGGGUGCUAAUACCGGAUAAUGUCUUCGGACCAAAGAUUUAUCGCCUUUGGAUGGGCCCGCGUUGGAUUAGCUAGUUAGUAGGGUAAAAGCCUACCAAGGCGACGAUCCAUAGCUGGUCUGAGAGGAUGAUCAGCCACACUGGGACUGAGACACGGCCCAGACUCCUACGGGAGGCAGCAGUGGGGAAUAUUGGACAAUGGGCGAAAGCCUGAUCCAGCAAUGCCGCGUGAGUGAUGAAGGCCUUAGGGUUGUAAAGCUCUUUUACCCGGGAUGAUAAUGACAGUACCGGGAGAAUAAGCGCCGGCUAACUCCGUG